Molecule: ribosomal RNA, 441 nt
Filed under: uncultured bacterium
Lineage: Bacteria
Description: partial 16S ribosomal RNA
Rfam family: Bacterial small subunit ribosomal RNA
Source: RNAcentral
CCUACGGGAGGCAGCAGUGGGGGAUAUUGCACAAUGGGGGGAACCCUGAUGCAGCGAAGCCGCGUGGGUGAAGGAGCGUUUAGGCGCGUAAAGCCCUAUCGGCAGGGAAGAAGGAGGACGGUACCUGACUAAGAAGCACCGGCUAACUACGUGCCAGCAGCCGCGGUAAGACGUAGGGGGCAAGCGUUAUCCGGAUUUACUGGGUGUAAAGGGGGUGCAGACGGCAGCGGAAUCCAGGGGUGAAAGCCCGGGGCCCAACCCCGGUACUGCCCUUGGAACUGCUCGGCUGGAGGGCAGGAGGGGCAGGCGGAAUUCCUGGUGUAGCGGUGAAAUGCGUAGAUAUCAGGAAGAACACCGAUGGCGAAGGCGGCCUGCUGGACUGCGACUGACGUUGAGGCCCGAAAGCGUGGGGAGCAAACAGGAUUAGAUACCCUUGUAGUC